UGAUCCAAAUCAGGAAAGACGGCGCC
Molecule: non-coding RNA, 26 nt
Filed under: Homo sapiens (human)
Lineage: Eukaryota; Metazoa; Chordata; Mammalia; Primates; Hominidae
Source: RNAcentral